AAUAAUGAAUGUCGUAUAAGCUAAAGGGUGAAGGUUCGUAAGGUUUGUGAGUAUAUUAGAAUGAGAAGAUUUUUGAGCAUUCAUAGACACAAAUACUUGCAUUACGGUCUUGGGAUAAUGGUUGGGUUUUAAAUGGAAGGUUUUAUGAAAUAUUGUUAAGAUAAAAAUAAGUUUGCUUGGGGGCUAACAAAGAUUAAGUUUGGGGUGUUUUGAUAUGUGCAUGUCUAUACAUAUAUUUUACAUCAUAUCGUAAUUUUUUAGCCCUUUUUGUGCCCAUUAUAAAACAAAAGGUACUUAAUCUAUUGUAUGAUGUGUUGUAGUGGGAAAAGACAUGCUCGGAGCAAAAAGGAAGCUAGAAACUGGAGGUUAGGGACUUGGAUCAAAGAAAAAAUGAAGAAAAUACAGAUUCCCACGACGUAGUGUUUUGAAGUUUCCCGUCGAACCUCGAAGACUUGCGGAUUAUGUGAUAAAGUAGAAGACCACGUCGUGGUGGACUUGUCACCACGUGAUGGACCGACUUCGAGAAAAUUAUAAAUAGAAGGCAUAAUCCUCGGAAAUCCCAAUUUUGCAGGAGCUAUUGUCAUAUUUUGAAGGCCAAGAACACACUUUGAAGCUUGGGGUUACAUAAGAUUGAUUAUAGCUUGGAUUUGACAGAUUUGAGGCAAUACAACUUGAAAUUCAUUUUUAUGAGUUUACUUGUUGAAAUCUUGGUCUAAAAAGCAAUGACUUCGUUUAGAUUAGAUUGCUUGACUUUUUAUGGCUUGAUAUAUGGUUUGGAUUAUGAAUAGCUGGUUAUUUAUGGGGAUGGAUUCGGAGGGUUGCAAAAAUACCUUGAGGUUAAGAAAGAUUUAUGGGGAUGGAUUCAGAGGGUUGCAAAAACGAAUGUCAUAUAAGCUAAUGGGUGAAGGUUCAUAAGGUUUGUGAGUAUUUUUGAAUGAGAAGAUUUUCGAAAUCAUAGACAUAAAAACUUUCAUUACGGUCUUCGGAUAAUGGUUGGGUUUUAAAUUGACUGUUUUAUGAAAUAUUGGUAAGAUAAAAUAAGUUUGCUUGGGGGCUAACAAAGAUUAAGUGUGGGGUGUUUUGAUAUGUGCAUAUCUAUACAUAUAUUUUACAUCAUAUUUUAAUAUUUCUAGCCAUUUUUAUGCCCAUUAUAAAACAAAAGGUACUUAAUCUAUUGUAUGGUGUGUUGUAGUGGUAAAAGACAUGCUAGAGCAAAAAGGAAGUUGGAAGCUGGAAGUUAGGAACUUGGAGCUAGGCAAAUAUGAAAUUAGUACCCAAUCCCACAAUGUGGUGUUUUGAAGUUUCCCGUCAAACUUCGAAGACAUGCGGAUUUUGUGAUAAAUUAGAAGACCACGUCGUGGUGGACUUGUCACCAUGUGGUCGACCAACUUCGAGAAAAUUAUAAAUGCAAGGCAUAAUCCUCUGAAAACCCAACUUUUGCUAGAGCUAUUGUCAUAUUUUGAAGGCCAACAACACACUCUGAAGGUUGGAGUUACAUAAGAUUGAUUAUAGCUUGGAUUUGAGAGAUUUGAGGCAGUACAAGUUAAAUUUCAUUUUUAUGUGUUUACCUGAUGAAAUCUUGGGCUUAAAACCUAUGACUUCGUUUAUAUUAGAUUACUUGAAUUUUUAUGGCUUGAUUUAUGGUUUGGAUUAUGAAUAAUUGGUUGUUUAUAUGGAUGGAUUUGAAGGGUUGAAAAAAUACCUUGAGGUUAACAAAGUUUUAUGCGGAUGGUUUCGGAGGAUUGAAAAAAUGAAUAUCGUAUAAGCUAAGGGCUGAAGGUUAAUAAGGUUUGUGAGUAUAUUGGAAUGAGAAGAUUUUUGAAAUCAUAGACACAAAUACUUGCAUUACGGUCUUGGGAUAAUGGUUGGGUUUUAAAUGGACGGUUUUAUGAAAUAUUGUUAAGAUAAAAAUAAGUUUGCUUGGGGGCUAACAAAGAUUAAGUUUGGGGUGUUUUGAUAUGUGCAUGUCUAUACAUAUAUUUUUCAUCAUAUCUUAAUUUUUUUAGCCCUUUUUGUGCCCAUUAUAAAACACAAGGUACUUAAUCUAUUGUAUGAUGUGUUGUAGUGGUAAAAGACAUGCUCGGAGCAAAAAGGAAGCUAGAAACUGGAGGUUAGGGACUUGGAUCAAGGAAUAAAUGAAGAAAAUACCCAUUCCCACGACAUGGUGUUUUGAAGUUUCCCGUCGAAUCCCGAAGACUUGCGGAUUACGUGAUAAAGUAGAAGACCACGUCGUGGUGGAAUUGUCACCACGUGGUGGACCGACUUCGAGAAAAUUAUAAAUAGAAUGCAUAAUCCUCCGAAAACCCAACUUUUGCAAGAGCUAUUGUCAUAUUUUGAUGGCCAAGAACACACUUUGAAGCUUGGGGUUACAUAAGAUUGAUUAUAGCUUGGAUUUGACAGAUUUUAGGAAAUACAACUUAAAUUUCAUUUUUAUGUGUUUACCUGUUGAAAUCUUGGUCUAAAAAGUUAUGACUUCGUUUAGAUUAGAUUGCUUGUCUUUUUAUGGCUUGACUUAUGGUUUGGAUUAUGAAUAGUUGGUUAUUUAUGGGGAUGGAUUCGAAGGGUUGCAAAAAUACCUUGAGGUUAAGAAAGAUUUAUGGGGAUGGAUUCAGAGGGUUGCAAAAGCGAAUGUCAUACAAGCUAAUGGGUAAAGGUUCAUAAGGUUUGUGAGUAUUUUGGAAUGAGAAGAUUUUCGGAAUCAUAGUCAUAAAUACUUUCAUUACGGUCUUCGGAUAAUGGCUGGGUUUUAAAUUGACUGUUUUAUGAAAUAUUGGUAAGAUAAAAAUAUGUUUGCUUGGGGGCUAACAAAGAUUAAGUGUGGGGUGUUUUGAUAUGUGCAUAUCUUUACAUAUAUUUUACAUCAUAUCUUAAUAUUUAUAGCCAUUUUUAUGCCCAUUAUAAAAGAAAAGGUACUUAAUCUAUUGUAUGGUGUGUUGUAGUGGUAAAAGACAAGCUGGAGCAAAAAGGAAGUUGGAAGCUGCAAGUUAGGAACUUGGAGCUAGGCAAAUAUGAAAUAAAUACCCAAUCCCACGAUGUGGUGUUUUGAAUUUUCCCGUCGAACCUUGAAGACUUGCGGAUUAUGUGAUAAAUUAGAAGACCACGUCGUGGUGGAUUUGUCACCAUGUGGUGCACCGACUUCGAGAAAAUUAUAAAUGGAAGGCAUAAUCCUCCGAAAACCCAACUUUUGCUACAGCUAUUGUCAUAUUUUGAAGGCCAGGAACACACUUUGAACGUUGGGGUUACAUAAGAUUGAUUAUAGCUUGGGUUUGAGAGAUUUGAGGCAGUACAAGUUGAAUUUCAUUUUUAUGUGUUUACCUGAUGAAAUCUUGGUCUAAAAACCUAUGACUUCGUUUAUAUUAGAUUACUUGACUUUUUAUGUCUUGAUUUAUGGUUUGGAUUAUGAAUAGUUGGUUAUUUAUAGGGAUGGAUUCGAAGGGUUGCAAAAUACCUUGAGGUUAACAAAGUUUUAUGCGGAUGGUUUCGGAGGAUUGCAAAAAUGAAUGUCGUAUAAGCUAAAGGGUGCAGGUUCAUAAGGUUUGUGAGUAUAUUAGAAUGAGAAGAUUUUUGGAAUCAUAGACAAAAAUACUUGCAUUACGGUCUUGGGAUAAUGAUUGGGUUUUAAAUGGACGGUAUUAUGAAAUAUUGUUCAGAUAAAAAUAAGUUUGCUUAGGGGCUAACAAAGAUUAAGUUUGGGGUGUUUUGAUAUGUACAUGUCUAUACAUAUAUUUUACAUCAUAUCGUAAUUUUUUAGCCCUUUUUGUGCCCAUUAUAAAACAAAAGGUACUUAAUCUAUUGUAUGAUGUGUUGUAGUGGUAAAAGACAUGCUCGGAGCAAAAAGGAAGCUAGAAACUGGAGGUUAGGGACUUGGAUCAUGGAAAAAAUGAAGAUAAUACCCAUUCCCACGAUGUGGUGUUUUGAAGUUUCCCGUCGAACCUCGAAGACUUGCAGAUUACGUGAUAAAGUAGAAGACCACGUCGUGGUGGACUUGUCACCACGUGGUGGACUGACUUCGAGAAAAUUAUAAAUAGAAGGCAUAAUCCUUGGAAAUCCCAACUUUUGCAAGAGCUAUUGUCAUAUUUUGAAGGCCAAUAACACACUUUGAAGCUUGGGGUUACAUAAGAUUGAUUAUAGCUUUGAUUUGACAGAUUUGAGACAAUACAACUUGAAAUUCAUUUUUAUGAGUUUACCUGUUGAAAUCUUGGUCUAAAAAGCUAUGACUUCGUUUAGAUUAGAUUGCUUGACUUUUUAUGGCUUGAUUUAUAGUUUGGAUUAUGAGUAGUUGGUUAUUUAUGGGGAUGGAUUCGGAGGGUUGCAAAAAUACCAUGAGUUUAAGAAAGUUUUAUGGGGAUGGAUUCGGAGGGUUGCAAUAAUGAAUGUCGUAUAAGCCAAAGGGUGAAGGUUCAUAAGGUUUGUGAGUAUAUUAGAAUGAGAAGAUUUUUGGAAUCAUAGACACAAAUACUUGCAUUACGGUCUUGGGAUAAUGGUUGGGUUUUAAAUGGAAGGUUUUAUGAAAUAUUGUUAAGAUAAAAAUAAGUUUGCUUGGGGGCUAACAAAGAUUAAGUUUGGGGUGUUUUGAUAUGUGCAUGUCUAUACAUAUAUUUUACAUCAUAUCUUAAUUUUUUAGCCCUUUUUGUGCCCAUUAUAAAACAAACGGUACUUAAUCUAUUGUAUGAUGUGAUGUAGUGGUAAAACACAUUCUCAGAGCGAAAAGGAAGCUAGAAAAUGGAGGUUAGCGACUUGGAUCAAGGAAUAAAUGAAGAAAAUACCCAUUCCCACGACGUGGUGUUUUGAAGUUUCCCGUCG
RNAcentral lists this long non-coding RNA (4803 nucleotides) under Lactuca sativa (garden lettuce). RNAcentral describes it as "long non-coding RNA (LSAT_LNC009508)". Lineage: Eukaryota; Viridiplantae; Streptophyta; Magnoliopsida; Asterales; Asteraceae. The record is from RNAcentral.